RNAcentral lists this ribosomal RNA (234 nucleotides) under uncultured Lactobacillus sp. RNAcentral's name for it is "partial 16S ribosomal RNA". It matches the Rfam family "Bacterial small subunit ribosomal RNA", at positions 128 to 355 of the family's 1533-position model. Lineage: Bacteria; Bacillati; Bacillota; Bacilli; Lactobacillales; Lactobacillaceae. The record is from RNAcentral.
GCCCAAGAGAUCGGGAUAACACCUGGAAACAGAUGCUAAUACCGGAUAACAACAGAUGAUGCCUAUCAACUGUUUAAAAGAUGGUUCUGCUAUCACUCUUGGAUGGACCUGCGGUGCAUUAGCUAGUUGGUAGGGUAACGGCCUACCAAGGCGAUGAUGCAUGGCCGAGUUGAGAGACUGAUCGGCCACAUUGGGACUGAGACACGGCCCAAACUCCUACGGGAGGCAGCAGCU